Molecule: unclassified non-coding RNA, 144 nt
Organism: Cricetulus griseus (Chinese hamster)
Lineage: Eukaryota; Metazoa; Chordata; Mammalia; Rodentia; Cricetidae
Gene: 7SK
Rfam family: 7SK RNA
About the family: 7SK was discovered as an abundant small nuclear RNA in the mid-70s but a possible function has only recently been suggested. Two independent studies have found that 7SK RNA binds the CDK9/cyclin T complex (known as elongation factor P-TEFb).
Source: Ensembl
CUACUCUUGAAGCUCCAGGUUCGGUUGAAGAGGACAACCUUCCCCAACAGACAAGGGCAGGUUGGUCAUUGGUAUACCAGGAGCCACACUCCCUGCUAGAACCUCCAAACAAGCUCUCAAGAUCAGGUAGCUUGAUGAGUCAGC